Molecule: long non-coding RNA, 299 nt
Filed under: Mytilus galloprovincialis (Mediterranean mussel)
Lineage: Eukaryota; Metazoa; Mollusca; Bivalvia; Mytilida; Mytilidae
Source: RNAcentral
GGGGUCUGUUACAUGUAGUUGUUUGUCCAUGAGGGUCAUUAAUUCAUAUGGUGAAUUUAGGUUGAUUAUUAUGAAUGUCAAUAUCGUGGUUAUGAUCAUUCAGUUAUGUAUGCGUUUUGUAUAUGUACGGAGGAUGUUUUCAUAGUGCCUUUGUCUAUGACAUUUACCCUGUUCCGGCAGUGGCAUUACUUUGUACAGCUGUAUUGAGUAUGGGUUUAACUAAUACGAUGGCUUUAGCUUGUCCAUUUUGAAGGUUAUUUAUUUGGUCUAAAGUGAACAUACACAUUUGUUUGAUUUUG